Molecule: ribosomal RNA, 405 nt
Filed under: bacterium
Lineage: Bacteria
Also listed under: 2 other names
Description: bacterial SSU rRNA
Rfam family: Bacterial small subunit ribosomal RNA
Source: RNAcentral
GUGGGGAAUAUUGCACAAUGGGGGAAACCCUGAUGCAGCGACGCCGCGUGAGCGAUGAAGUAUUUCGGUAUGUAAAGCUCUAUCAGCAGGGAAGAAAAUGACGGUACCUGACUAAGAAGCCCCGGCUAACUACGUGCCAGCAGCCGCGGUAAUACGUAGGGGGCAAGCGUUAUCCGGAUUUACUGGGUGUAAAGGGAGCGUAGACGGCAUGGCAAGCCAGAUGUGAAAGCCCGGGGCUCAACCCCGGGACUGCAUUUGGAACUGUCAGGCUAGAGUGUCGGAGAGGAAAGCGGAAUUCCUAGUGUAGCGGUGAAAUGCGUAGAUAUUAGGAGGAACACCAGUGGCGAAGGCGGCUUUCUGGACGAUGACUGACGUUGAGGCUCGAAAGCGUGGGGAGCAAACAGG